RNAcentral lists this ribosomal RNA (823 nucleotides) under uncultured bacterium. Its description in RNAcentral is "bacterial SSU rRNA". It matches the Rfam family "Bacterial small subunit ribosomal RNA", at positions 26 to 898 of the family's 1533-position model. The record is from RNAcentral.
AGAACGAACGCUGGCGGCAGGCCUAACACAUGCAAGUCGAACGCCCCGCAAGGGGAGUGGCAGACGGGUGAGUAACGCGUGGGAACAUACCCUUCGGUUCGGAAUAGCUCAGGGAAACUUGGAUUAAUACCGGAUACGUCCGUAAGGAGAAAGAUUUAUCGCCGAAGGAUUGGCCCGCGUCUGAUUAGCUUGUUGGUGAGGUAAUGGCUCACCAAGGCGACGAUCAGUAGCUGGUCUGAGAGGAUGACCAGCCACAUUGGGACUGAGACACGGCCCGAACUCCUACGGGAGGCAGCAGUGGGGAAUAUUGGACAAUGGGCGAAAGCCUGAUCCAGCCAUGCCGCGUGAGUGAUGAAGGCCUUAGGGUUGUAAAGCUCUUUUACCCGGGAAGAUAAUGACGGUACCGGGAGAAUAAGCCCCGGCUAACUUCGUGCCAGCAGCCGCGGUAAUACGAAGGGGGCUAGCGUUGUUCGGAAUUACUGGGCGUAAAGCGCACGUAGGCGGAUUUUUAAGUCAGGGGUGAAAUCCCGAGGCUCAACCUCGGAACUGCCUUUGAUACUGGGAAUCUUGAGUCCGGGAGAGGUGAGUGGAACUGCGAGUGUAGAGGUGAAAUUCGUAGAUAUUCGCAAGAACACCAGUGGCGAAGGCGGCUCACUGGCCCGGUACUGACGCUGAGGUGCGAAAGCAUGGGGAGCAAACAGGAUUAGAUACCCUGGUAGUCCACGCCGUAAACGAUGGAUGCUAGCCGUUGGGGAGCUUGCUCUUCAGUGGCGCAGCUAACGCUUUAAGCAUCCCGCCUGGGGAGUACGGUCGCAAGAUUAAA